GAACUUUUGUAUAGCCAGCAAGGUUACUGACACUUGCUCAGGGCUACUCCUGGAGUGCUGGAAACCUUAUCUUUCUUUAUCUCCAGAAUAAAGGAUUUAUUCACACCUGGGAUACCAGCAAGGGAGGAGACAGUGGAGGACGACGCUUCAGGAGCCCUCGCCAUCAGGAAGGUGAUUCCCAGUUUGGCCCCGUAGUCUCAGCGACAGGACAGCCAGGGACGGCGUCAAGCUGUCAGAACUGCCCGGACGGCCUUCACGGGGUGUCCGCGGAGAAUGGCCAAGGUCACUGCCAAGUCACGCUAAGUGGACUGGCCUGACGACCGGCUCGCUGUGGACACGGGGGAAGUGAUCCCGUC
This is a long non-coding RNA of Esox lucius (northern pike), 356 nucleotides long. Lineage: Eukaryota; Metazoa; Chordata; Actinopteri; Esociformes; Esocidae. The record is from Ensembl.